GUCGCAGGACUGGUCCUAUCCAGCCCAGGAGAUACGCUCCCCAGUCCAGGAUGUCCAGAUGGCCCUGCUGCCUGGAGAGGCUCUGGCCCCUGCCGGUAGCUGCCACAGCACCAGCCCAAGCUCUCCCUUCCUGCAGGUUCGUGCACACGACUAAUAGAACCCCUCCUCUGGAACUCACAAGAUAUUCUCCAUCCUGCAUAGGGCUGGGGGCUUGAGCACCCCAGGAGAUUCUUUUGGAGCUGGAGACCCUUUUCUGAGGAGCCAGCAGAGGGCCUGCAAGUCAGAUUGAGCAACGCGGGAGAAGAAGCAUCAUCCCUUCAUCUUGAGGCCUGGUCCAGGGAGGUGAAGGGAUGUGGACUGUCCCCAGCCGUACACUCACCCACAACUCAUGCAUGCAAGCAUUCAUGCCCCAAUGCACACACUGCACCACACACACACACAUAUUUUCCUUGAAUCUCUCUCUCUCUCACACUCACACACACACACACACACACACACACACAUACUCUCCCAUCCACACACACACAACACUUUAGGAGAAACUGAGCAAAGAAAGGCAGCCUCUCACUGCGAGUCCUCUAACCCCCGUCCCAGUGGUUGUUGUGCACUGAAGCUUCCUUGCCAGGGGCUCUGACGGGAUUCUUGUGUUAAUAUGAUUGUGUCCAUGCUUGUUUUCUCCCAUCAAUUUUCAAUCCUGUUUAAUUAAAACGCUGACUUUCCUGUUUAGUAUCUUCUCAACUGCAGCUUCUCCCUGCUCUCUUUCCUGGCAGGGAGGUGAUUCUGCAGAAGUUGGGGCUCCUGACAACUUUG
RNAcentral lists this long non-coding RNA (810 nucleotides) under Pan troglodytes (chimpanzee). RNAcentral describes it as "long non-coding RNA NONPTRT009826". Lineage: Eukaryota; Metazoa; Chordata; Mammalia; Primates; Hominidae. The record is from RNAcentral.